This 486-nucleotide ribosomal RNA is filed under the name uncultured bacterium. RNAcentral describes it as "partial 16S ribosomal RNA". It matches the Rfam family "Bacterial small subunit ribosomal RNA", at positions 28 to 507 of the family's 1533-position model. The record is from RNAcentral.
GACGAACGCUGGCGGCGUGCCUAAUACAUGCAAGUCGAACGCUGGAGACCUAUCUUUCUAGUGCGCAGGAUUGGCGCACGGGUGAGUAAUACAUAAGCAACCUACCCACGAAGACUGGGAUUAUCUCUGGAAAAGGGGACUAAUACCGGAUAGGUAAUCGGAAGCCAUCUUCUGGUUAUUAAAGGUUAAAAACACUGUCUGAUGGUCUUAUGGCGCAUUAUUUAGUUGGUGAUGUAACGGCCCACCGAGACGGUGAUGCGUAGCCGAUAUGAGAGGGUGAACGGCCACAUCGGGACUGAGACACGGCCCAGAAUCCUAGGGGGGGGAGCAGUAGGGAAUGUUCGGGAAGGGAGGCAAACCUGACAGAGCAACGCCGGGUGAGAGAAGACGGCGUUCGGGUUGUAAAGCUCUGUUGUAAGGGAAGAACGGUAGAUAGAGAAUAUCUAAGUGACGGUACCUUACCAGAAAGCCACGGCUAACUACGUG